AUACGGAGGGGGCUAGCGUUGUUCGGAAUUACUGGGCGUAAAGCGCGCGUAGGCGGAUUGAUCAGUCAGGGGUGAAAUCCCGAGGCUUAACCUCGGAACUGCCUUUGAUACUGUCAAUCUUGAGUUCGAGAGAGGUGAGUGGAAUUCCUAGUGUAGAGGUGAAAUUCGUAGAUAUUAGGAAGAACACCAGUGGCGAAGGCGGCUCACUGGCUCGAUACUGACGCUGAGGUGCGAAAGCGUGGGGAGCAAGCAGGAUUAGAUACCCUAGUAGUCC
This 274-nucleotide ribosomal RNA is filed under the name uncultured bacterium. RNAcentral describes it as "partial 16S ribosomal RNA". It matches the Rfam family "Bacterial small subunit ribosomal RNA", at positions 523 to 796 of the family's 1533-position model. The record is from RNAcentral.